This 3162-nucleotide long non-coding RNA is filed under the name Homo sapiens (human). RNAcentral's name for it is "non-protein coding lnc-RUFY3-1:2". Lineage: Eukaryota; Metazoa; Chordata; Mammalia; Primates; Hominidae. The record is from RNAcentral.
UUUUUUCAGGCGGUGGAAACUGAGGCCCAAAGUAAGUGAGGCUAGGGGCCUGGCGCAGUGACUCAUUCGUAGUGACUCAUUCUUGUAAUCCUAGCACUUUGGCAGGCAGAGGCGGGUGGACUGCCUGAGGUCAGGAGUUCGAGACCAACCUAGGCAACACGGUGAAAUCCCGUCUCUACUAAAAUACAAAAAAUUAGGUCGGACGCGGUGGCUCCCGCCUGUAAUCCCAGCACUUUAGUAGGCCGAGGUAGGGCGGAUCACCUGAGGUCAGCAGUUCAAGACCAGCCUGGCCAACAUGGUGAAACUGUGUCUCUACUAAAAACACAAAAAUUAGCCGGGUGUGGUGACGGGUGCCCGUAAUCCCAGCUACUCAGGAGGCUGAGGCAGGAGAAUCGCUUGAACCCAGGAGGCGGAGGUUGCAGUGAGCCAAGAUCGUGCCACCGCACUGCAGCCUGGGCGACAGAGUGAGACGCCAUCUCCAAACAAACAAACAAAAAAAUUAGGUUAGGGCCAUCCUGCUCUGGGUAGGGCCGAGAGCUGUAGCACAAGUCUGUGCUGCCCUGCGCUGUGCCACCGAAACCCGUGGUGUGAGUGGCUAAAGAACCCUUUCUGAAAGGAAUUGUGAUACCUUGGUUAUAAAAAAAUCGUUGGGAUAAUAUCAGAGAUUUGGUACCCCCCGAAUUUGAGGUAUGUGAGGAAGGAGAACUUCGUUGUUUUAAAAUGAAAUAUAGGCCUGGCGUGGUGGCUCAUGCCUAUAAUCCCAGCGCUUUGGGAGGCUGAAGUGAGAGGAUCACUGGAGCCCAAGAGUUCCAGACCAGCCUGGGCAACAUAGGGAGACCCCGUCUAUACAAAAAAUAAAUAAAGCUGGGUGUGAUGGCGUGGGCCUGUAGUCCCAGCUACUUGGGAGGCCGAUUGCUUCAGCCCAGAAGGUAGAGGCUGUGGUAAGCUAUGAUUGCCACCACUGAACUCCAGCCUGGGUGACAGAGUGAAACCCUGUCUCUAAAAAAAUAAAAGAAAACAUAUAUAUUUAUUAUGUACUGAUAAUACAUAACAAAGGUGAACCCUCCCCUAAUGAAACUGUAUUCACAAGUGAACACACAGAGAUUUGCACACACAUACACAAAGACUGGUUGUGCAGCUUUUCUCCUCCUGAGCCAGGACUUGUCAAAGACAAGCAAAAGGAAGUUGUUAGAGUAAAAAAUAAGAGAAAGCUAGUAUUUUUAAAAACUCCUUACUGUGGAAAAUGUCAAACAGAAGAGCAGAAUGAAUUUCCAGAACUUCAUAAAUUGUCAACACUUUUCAGUCUUGUUUCAUCUAUCCCCUACCACCAUCUUCCAGACCUUAUUUUCUUUGCUAGAAUAUUUUAAAGCAAUGGGUAUUACAUUUAAAGUUUGACUUGUUUAACCUGGACUACUUUUAGGUAAGGAAAAUUCAGUAUUUCUUAGAAAACCCUUUCCCCAACCAAAAAACAAAGAACAAGAAAAAAAUUGAUAGGCUUGGCUCUAUGAACCUGGAGUAUCAAAGAAAAAGGGGUUUAGUUUUGUUUUUUGGGCUAAAAUACAGUCCGACGGAGAGUAUUGUCAUUUUUAUACAAAAACAGGGACAAAAGAAAAGGCAACAGUGCAAAUACUCCAUCUUCCAGGAAGGGAGGCUGGGAUGCCUCAGUGUUAAAAUGACAAAAGAAAACCCCAGAGCAAGAACCAUGAUCCCUCAGAGGAGUCCCAGAAAUGUCCAAGACAGCCUGGCUGGGAGAGGGGGUGUGGGAAGGGCAGGCCCCCAAGAGAGGUCCCCACAUCCUCUGGCUAGAGGCUAGGCCCAGGACCCACCAAUGCCAGCAGCCCUCACCUCCCUUUGGGGUGAGAGCAGGUGCUGAGGUCAGGCUGGUUUUUGUUUCCCACUGCUUGUUCGUGAUUUGUUCUUGGAUACCUGGAAAGGGGCCAGUUGAGGCCUCAGGGGUUGAGGCCCCUCUGGAAAUGUGGUUCCUGGGAAUGGGCCUGGACAUAGAAGCCACUGGAUGUCUCUUCCCUGAACAGUAAUUUUGUUCAUCAGUAAUCCUGUAACUUCCCAAGGAAAACAAAGAACAGGCUAGUCUUCCCCACCCCAGCCAAAAAAGAGAAGGGGGUUUCUUCAUCUGCAAGAUUUGGGAAUCCUAGAGUUACUUAUUUAUAUAGAGACAGGGUUUUGCUCUUUUGCCCGAGCUGGGGUGCAGUGGUGGGAAUAUGACUCACACUAGCCUUGACCUCCCGGGUUCAAGUAAUCCUCCUGCCUCAGCCUCCCAAAGUGCUUGGGAUUACAAGCAUGAACCACCACACCUGACCUAUUUUUCUUUUCGUAAGCCUCCCUUUCAAGAAGGAAAAUGGGUUAGCCCUUCCUAACAGAUCAUCACUACAAAUAACAGGUUGCUGAUGUAUUGGAGACUCUGCCUAUAUUUACUCUUGCCCUCAUUUUCUUAAUAGCAGCAGUCAUCAUCUAUAACAUAAAAAUCUGAAUGGAUUGGAAACCUAAAUAGACAGAAAUCCUGUACUUUAUAAUCAGGAGUAUAAAUAAUAAGAGGCAGCCUGGGCAACCUGGCGACAUCCCGUAUCUACUAAAAAUACAAAAAAUUAGCUGGGCGUGGUGACACCUGCCUGUAGUCCCAAAAGGUCACACGCUCUCUCACAGCACAAACUGACCCUAAAACCGGAGCCCACAAGGUUGAGGCUUCAGUGAGCUGAGACCGCACCACUGCACUCCAGCACUCCAAAGUAGCACCUGCCAUCCUCAUGACAGAGUGAGACCCUGUCUCAAAAGUAAAUAAAUAAAUAAAAUUAAAUUAUAAGAGGCCAUUGGUUUGGACUGAGCUCUUCUACUAUGCCCAAAAGACCAAACCAAAAUGCAGUUACUCACCUUCCACAAGACCAAGCUGAAACUAAGUUUAUUUGACCUUCUGAGUAAUCAGGAGAGACAGAUAAUGGCCAAAUCCUCAAACAGACUGGUGUUAGCUGGCAGGAUAAGGAAGGCCCCUUUGCUUUGACCUUUAUAGGGAAAAUACCUGAAACAACCAAUCUGCUUUGUAUUCUCUGUUUCUACUUUCCUUGGCCCUUUUCUAUCUACAAACCCAACCUCCUUUGCUCAGCUCAUCAAAACACUCACUCUAUAGAAUGAGAUGUUGCCCGAUUCUAG